AUGAUUAUUGUAUAAAGUCUUAUGAAGUUUUGACUAAAAGGCAUGAUGCAUGGUUUUCUAUGAAAAAUGUCUUCUUUAAAUGCAUGUUUUUGCAUAGUUGUCAUACUUGAUAUUUAAAGGAUGUCUCUAAAGUGAAGGGCUUGAUAUGUGUUUACUAAGCUCAAGAAAUCGGUCUUUAUGAUUGAACUUUUCUGGCUUUGUCACAUCCUUUUUCCAAUGAACAAGCACCAGAGCAGUGAGCUUCGACCACCGAAUCUCCACAUAAAUCACCACUUCUCUCUUUCCCGUUGCAAACAACCCAGGACCACUAGACCUUAAAUCCUUUAACUGUUUUAAGCGAGCUUCACCCUUUUCUUCGGCGAAACCAACUCGUUCCCACUUUCCUUGUUCUGAUUUUCCGGCGAACUCCACUAUGCCAUACAACCAUCUAAACACUGCUUUGCCCACCUUUUCCAAAAUGAACACAACAAACAUGCCACUUCCCAACUUCCAUUUCCCUGCUACUGUCUUUUCCGGCGAAGCUACGAUUCCAGAGAAUCCAACCCCAAACCCAGCAGCUCAAACAAUCCCCAAAUACCUUAACCCCUUUAAUUUUCCCCCUCAAUUCACACAAGGAACACGAUUUCCCCCAAGUCGCUCAAGGUUUAUCAAUGCAUGUAUAUGUUGCCCAAUUCUUGAAGCUACUUGGAGAACUCUGGAUUUCAUGGCUAUUUCCAUAUGGCAUUACUGUUUCUUGAGGGUGCUUCACAUUUAGAAACCUCAAAUUGGGGAAGUAGCAAAUCUGGGGAGAGUAAUCUAAAACAAAUUUAUAGUAAGGCACCCAAACUUUGCAGAUGUUCUUAACUUCAAUAUCAAAAGCAUGAUGGAACUGCCAGUGUUGCUUUGUCCAAUAAAUGUAUGGAGGUUGCAUACAUGAGGGUAGUAAAUUGCAAAAGUAUGAAUAGUACGUUGAAAGAUCUUGAUUCUCAUAUGCCCCAAGGCUUUGUUUAGCUGCAGGGGUAGUACAUUGAAAGAUGUGUGGUAAGAUCUAGACACUAUCAAAGCAAUAGAUGACUUCUACAGUGAAGUAUAUGCUAUAAAUUCAAUAACUGAUCUCAAGUUUCCAGAGCAUUCUCUAGUUUCAAGACUUCAAUGUGACAGACUCCUUGCAACAUAAUUUUGUGUACUAAUUAAUUCCUUUCCUCUAUUUUUGAAUUAAAAUUACUUUGAUUGGAAUAAAAAGUUAGAUAAGAUUACUACACUUAAAGAUAUCUUAUUUACUUGAAUAGACCAUUGAAAUGUUUGAUCAAUAUCCUAAUUAGAAUCAUGCUCGUGGGGGUACAAACUUAAUGAAAGCUUAUUUUGUUGCUUGACAUGAUUGUAUCAAUUAAUUCCCCUUUUUAGAUUUACUCAUCAUUGGGGUGUCUGUAUGUGUACUUCAUUUCUGUCUUAGAAGUUUCUCUUUGAUAUUCAGUGCUAAUUUCCGUGUGAGAUAAUAUGGGAUUUUGCCUUUUCCUUUCCACAGUGGUAUUUAUUAAUCUAUACAGUAUCUAGUCACCAUCAUCAAAUGGAGUUGCAUGGCUCUUUCUUGCUUAUGUCAUACUAAGUUCUUCAACGAUAGCCGGAUAUAUCUGAAAUUUACAAACAUGUUCUUGUCUAGAUUUUCGGUUUCAUCUAAAAGAUAUCUAACUUUCUGCAUUUUGACUUAAGUUGUGAUCACUAUUAUGUUUUCUUCAACAUAGAGAUUUCUUUUUCUGAAUUGUCAUCCGCAAAAUCUUUGAAACUUUUAAGUUUGUACAGAUUGUGUUGAAGUAGUUGUAUGUGUCACCUUUGAUGAGCUAGUCAACUUGGAUCAGAUUCCCAAAGGGGUGGGUUUCAAAUGAAUCUUUGUUCCUAUCCAUUACCGUAGUUUAUUUCUCAAGUAUUUUAUUUUUGUUGUGUGAUAUCUAUUCUUAUUCUGUAAGGUACAUUUUUCUUACAGGUGAGACUAGAGGGACAAACAAAAUUUCGCUAGCAGCCACAUGUAUUUUAGUUUAUUUGGAAGUCAAUUAUUUGUUUCUUUUGUAUAAUCUUUAGCAAAAGAAUCAUUAUUUUCCUUCUAACUCGUGCAGAAACUUAUCGUAUCAUUUAGAAUUCGAGUGUUCCAUGGUGUUUAUAACAUGGAAAGAAACGUAUUAAAAUUUAGAAAUACUUGACUUAAUACAUUUCCAAUUGUAGCUGAUCCUUGUUUACAACUCAUUUUCCUAUCGCAUUAUUAAUUUACUUUUAACUUUUUUCGUUUUAAUUCGUGUUCUGGAUAUAUGAAGCUGCAACCCGAGGUAUUUCUCCAGUUGUUCCCCCACAUCCACUAAAAUUUACUCUUUCAGAUCCGUGGGAUCCUUUUUCAUUGAAGCCAAGAUCCCUUGUUUCCUCCCCAUGUAGCUCAAAAACAUCUAAGCUAAACAACCGAUCUGAAAAUUUUGUUGCUGCCAUAGCUGAUCUCGAGCUGCUGCAACUCAGUUUUCUAAGAAUGGCAAUCCCCCAUCCAAUACAGUCGAGGUAGGAGAUUAUUCAACGACAGGAAAUAAGUAUUGGAGGGCUGAAUCAUGAGCGAGUUGCUGGAAAAUCUUGGUGACAUAACUUCAUUGUGAGUUUACCAUCGUUUAUGAGUUGUAACAUAUAUGAGUCAGUGACAAGCGUGAGGUUAUUAAGGCUAUAUUUGAACUUCCACUGCAAAUUCAAGCAUGGUUUCUCAAACAGAAGAGCAUCUUGUAGUUGUGGAAACUCUGAUAAAUUCAGAAUGAUCGCAUAAGUGAAGUCUAUUUACUGAAGUGAACCAUGAAGACUUGUUAAACAAUUGUGAUAUUUUAAUAUGAUUUUGAGGGAAUUAAUUUUUAGUGCACAUCUUCAUAUAUUGGUUUAUUAGCGUGUGCAAUACUUGAAUCAUUUUGAUUUUGUGGAAUUCGUUUUUUUUUCUAGGGAACAUGUUUCUUUCCCAAAGUUUAUUGCAAA
Molecule: long non-coding RNA, 2970 nt
Organism: Solanum pennellii
Lineage: Eukaryota; Viridiplantae; Streptophyta; Magnoliopsida; Solanales; Solanaceae
Exons: 5
Source: RefSeq, a predicted model, not a curated record